Molecule: long non-coding RNA, 2144 nt
Organism: Lycium barbarum (goji berry)
Lineage: Eukaryota; Viridiplantae; Streptophyta; Magnoliopsida; Solanales; Solanaceae
Exons: 3
Source: RefSeq, a predicted model, not a curated record
AUUUUAUACAGCUGAAGAUUACAGCUGUUUGCACGUUAGGGCUGGGAAACAAUUUGUCGAGUGAGCCCUAGCUCGUUGGGGUUGUUCUGUGGGCUUCCAAUUUGUUGGGCUGUUUUGUGGGCUCACAUAUAUUCCUUGUGUGAUUUAAUUACUAUACCUGCACAAGUAAAAUUGUCAUCAUAAAAACUUGACACUAACAUAUAGCUCGGGAUCAGUGGGCUUCUUUUGUGAACUACCGUUUGAGAGACGAAACUCAGAAAAUGUGUAAAACAAAUGCCGAAAAUCAAUAAAAGCAAACAAUUCCCCACACUGGUGGCUCAAAGCCGAACUCUAGAAGAAGGGCUGAAAUGGAAAAAAUUCAGCUAGCAGUGAGUCAAAGUACUGUGGAUGAGUCUGAAAUUUCUCCCAACGAUGUUGUGGGUAAGGUGCUAGGAAAAGAGCAUUCUGGGAGGGUAAGAUGUUUGGGAUUAGGAGCUACUCCAAGCAUUCAUUUUAAACAAACAAAACCCCGUGUUGGUGGUAUUAGAAUUCCAAGUAAUGAUGUUGGAUGUUCUUCUUUCUGAUGUCAAGACAAGUACAAUAAAUUGUUGAAUACUCUCAAAGCCUACAUGAUAAUGAAGGAAGGGUCAAUACCGGAACAAUUUGCUGGGAUAUUUGGUUCACCUCCUACAAUGGUAAAACAAUUUGCUCAUUUUAAUUUUCUGCUUGAUUUACUGGGCUCUUCACUUCCCUACAAUUUGCUUGAUUGCCCACUUACGAGAUUUUAGUUUUCUACUUGAUUUUAGGAAGGGUUUUUAAAUGUGCAUAACUUUUUGUUCCUGCUAUUAAUUACUUUUGCUGUGUCCUGAGGGUUGACCAGAAAUUUAACAUCUGUUUAGCAAAAACAACAAUUGUUUCUUUAUCUUCUGUUUUGACAUAAAAGAGAUGCAUUUAAAUCAUCUGUUUCUUUUAGUGCAUAAAUAGUAUAUUUGAGUAUGAAAAUAUGAGUUUUGUCCAGUGUUUAAGAAUCUGAAUUCAUUUUAAUCUUGCUAUAUUAGGGCAUACUGCUAUUCCUUCUUAUUUUUAUUCCUCGUAAGACAGUAGCACGUACUAUCAUUCAUGGUAUUGCUAAAAAUUUCAGGAAGUAGGAAUUAUGAAACCAUUAGUGAUUCCAUCAAAGUGGCAGAAUUUCAGAACAUGUGUGUUGAUAAUUGCAUGUUUGGUUUGUAUUGCCAUGAAGAGUUUUUUAGAAACUAAUUUACGUAAACGACAAUGUUGUAGCAUGAUCUUAACGUAUUAUACUAUAAUUAUUAUACUAAUUAACAACUAACUGAUGUUUUAUUUUGAAUCUUCUUAAUGGAGACCAAGCAGAAAAAGCCUUCAGGUCUUUAAAGUCUUGAAUUAUGAUAGCUUUUGGAUAAGUGUAUAGCAAUAUAGUAACAUAUAUAGUUGAGCCUGAGAUCAUGAAAGAGAGGAAUUAGAAAUCAAUGAAACAAUUUGUGCUAAUAUUUUGUAUUUGUGUUUUUCAGUUUAUAUAGAUACAAUGUUGACCUCUAAUCAAGUUCAUAUGGAUUCUUCAUAAGAAAUGAAGCUGGUGAUUUGAUAGUUGAUAUAAUUCAAACCUAGGGAGAUUCACAUAGCUCUACUAAUAUAAUGGCAUUGCUUAUUUGCUUGUGGGCUACUGGAAAAGGAGUUUGUUGCUUAAAAAUGUGGUGACUGAUUAUUUGUACUGUCCUUAGUUGUGUCCUUUACUGUGGAUUAGUUUCUUGUUUCCAUAUUCUCUGUAUUUGUGGUACUGUUAUAUACCAAAAUUCAUAUUUUGGUUUGAAUUUGCAUGAUUUAAUUAAGUUGGCAGCUACUUCAUUUCAGCUACAAUAAUCCAAUUGUAUACCAAGCUCUGAAUUUUGUUGAAUCGGUGAAAAAAGUUUUAUCAUCCUUGUUUUUCUUAAUUAUCCAUUCUAGCUACUUCACAAAUCUCUCUUUCUUUGUAGUCGAGUGACGCAGGUAGCAGCUAGCGGAUCCAUGGAUUCAAGAUUUUCUAGCUCUAGUAAUCAUGUAAUAUGAUUAGUUGACUAAAGUGGAUUUGUGACGAUUUCAGUUGAUGACAUUUACUUGUCUUAGUAUUUUGUAUGCUUUAAUGGAAUGUUGAUAUUUCUCAAUUUUGA